AAUCCCUACCACAACGAGCCAGGCUUUG
RNAcentral lists this non-coding RNA (28 nucleotides) under Cricetulus griseus (Chinese hamster). Lineage: Eukaryota; Metazoa; Chordata; Mammalia; Rodentia; Cricetidae. The record is from RNAcentral.